This is a long non-coding RNA of Homo sapiens (human), 583 nucleotides long. Ensembl annotates it as HAND2 antisense RNA 1. Its record names the gene HAND2-AS1. The record is from Ensembl. Lineage: Eukaryota; Metazoa; Chordata; Mammalia; Primates; Hominidae.
AAUGCAAGUGUUUAACAGAUGCUUCACUAUUAAAAUAUUUUCCCCCCAAGUCUCAAAUAUUGAAGAAUCUCUAACCAGGCUCGAAACGCCGGUCUCAGUGGCUAUUGAGUUACCCACCAAGUUACCCCGGUUAGAGCUGUUUGGGGUGGCUCACGUUAUUGCGGCAAACUUUGGAGAUGACGGCUGAGUCCUCCGGGCGAACAUGUCAAGCCGAUUGUAAAUGCUGUUAUUUCCACAUCCUUCAGGGACACCAGUCCCUACGAAGACCUUGGGCGAUUUUGAAGUGCGGGCACCUCGAUUCCCCGAAUCUGUAGUGUGGCUGGUAUCGGUGUUCCCCUGGUUUAACUAGCCUGUUUGAAGGCACAGAUCAUUCAUGGGGAUGUAUAACCGAAACCAGUCCUCUCCACCGCCUGGGGAUCUUCACUUUCGCAGUCUACGACUGCCUGUGACUCCAGAAAGACAAACUGCAGAUUGGCCAAGGUCCAGCCUAAAUGUUACCUCCUCCAGGGAGCCUUUCCAGAUACUGCUUCUCCUCUCUCCCCCAACUCCCUCCCACAAAUGAAGUUUUCUCUUCUGAAUUCCU